Molecule: ribosomal RNA, 253 nt
Filed under: uncultured bacterium
Lineage: Bacteria
Description: partial 16S ribosomal RNA
Rfam family: Bacterial small subunit ribosomal RNA
Source: RNAcentral
UACGGAGGGUGCAAGCGUUAUCCGGAUUCACUGGGUUUAAAGGGUGCGCAGGCGGGCAGGUAAGUCCGGGGUGAAAUCUCUGAGCUUAACUCAGAAACUGCCAUGGAUACUAUUUGUCUUGAAUAUUGUGGAGGUAAGCGGAAUAUGUCAUGUAGCGGUGAAAUGCUUAGAUAUGACAUAGAACACCAAUUGCGAAGGCAGCUUACUACACAGUUAUUGACGCUGAGGCACGAAAGCGUGGGGAUCAAACAGG